Molecule: long non-coding RNA, 2067 nt
Organism: Caretta caretta (loggerhead turtle)
Lineage: Eukaryota; Metazoa; Chordata; Testudines; Cheloniidae
Source: RefSeq, a predicted model, not a curated record
UGAAGAGUCCCAAUCAAAAUCCAGAGAGAAAGAGACCCAACCCACCAAGAUCAGCUGAAAAUCCAGCUGUUUGAAAGCUGGGGUUGGAUGCUCAGCUGGUGCAGAUCUGCGGUCUUCCAUCCACGGCAAUGGAGCUACUCCCCUUCACGCCAGCAGACGAUGUAGCCUUGAUUUCUUAUCCUGCAGUUCCUGGAUCCGCGACUCCAGCUGAGACAAACUGGCGCUCGGUUUCUGCAAGCCUUCCAAGCUGGCCAGUCGGCUUUUCAGGUCUUUGUUCUGAUGGGAGAAAUUACACCUGAUUAGUCACCCAAGAAACCAACAGCCAGCAGCAGAGUGAGAAAGUUGGCCUUAUAAACAAACAGAGAAAGAACGGAGCGUUAUGUAAACCUCGGCAGUGAGUCAAGCUCUGCGAAAUCCCUUUCACAAAUAGGAAGCUUAAUGCGUAGGGUUAUAUAAUGGCAAUCAUUUUUCCUGCAUUAAAAAUGUUCCCAACUGAGCGUAGUUUAAAGCUGUGUGUGGAAUUCAAGCGCUCAAAACAGGUGAAGACAGUUCUCCCGCUCUGCAAAGCCAAUGCUGUCAGAACAUGCUGACUGGGGAUCACAGGCCAGGGAAUAGCUUACAUCUCCAUUUAGGCUCUUCCUCCCAAUGCUCCAUCACAAUCAGCAGGAAAAACCGCACACCUCCCCCACAGAAUGGAGUUUACCUGCCCACAGUCCUGUACGGAUACAGGUUUAGCAGCAAGCCAAAGCUCUCCUGGCGGGGACACAAUCCAGUGCAGAACUCAGAUAUUAAUGACCAGUGUAUUUAAUAGCUUCCUCAGCCCAAAGAGCUAAAUUUGCCAGCUUCACCUCCUUCCCUAAGAGCCAUCAGAGCUCCUCUAGCCUGCUCCACACGAAGCGACAGCAGAGACAACGCCAAUAUUAAACACGCCUCGGUAACUGGCAACGUCCAGGAGGGAGAAAUAAGGCUGAAAACUUUUGAAGAAUGAGCUCGAUGCACUGCAGGGAACUUUGUGACUUUUUGCACUACCUGAAGUCAGCAGCUCAAGCCGAGUGUUGUUUUGUCCCUGUUAAUUACAUGCAGAGAACAAGAACAGCUUGAAGGAUUUGCUUUUUUGAGCCAGCACACGCUUGUGUAGCAGAGCAUUUGGCAACACAAGUCUGGGCAGGUAGCUGCUGCAUGUUUACAGCAGUCCAGGCUGUAGUUUACCACCACGUUUUUUAAAGAACUUUGGAAUUAAGAGCCUAUCUACGAAUUAAGGUGCAUCGCGGCAGGGAAAGCUGUCUAGGAGGCAUCGGCGCGAUUUCGUCUUAAGUCGCCCGGUUCCUCUAAAGCACGGGUCAAUGAGUUCUGGGGCUCCAAAUGGAUUUGAACCAUGAGUCAGUUUGGGUCUGCAGAUAGACCCUGAAGAUGUGGGCCUUGUAGUAAGAUGAAGCCCUGAAACAUAAACCCUUACAUCAGAGGCCCGGUAUGAGGCCUGAGGCCUAAGGCCUGAACUAAAGUAAUGGUCAAGACUUUGCUAAUAUAAAGCAAAGUUAAGCUGCGAGCCGGAGGCAGGCCCGGCUCACAGAAGCUGGCAAGGAAAGGGCUGAUGUUGCAAAAAUACACAAACCUACAAGGCACUGGAUGCUAGAGAGAUAAACAUAUGCUAGGACGGUACCAGAACACUCCGAUACUUGCACAUUCCACACAGAUAACAAGGAACAGGUUGACUCAUCCUAAAGACAAGGGCAAAAGAAUACUAUGAUGGAUAGAGUUGUUUUGUUCGAACCAACAUGAACAAGGUGAGAGGCGGCACCUUACUGCAUAGAGGGGUUGUACCUUGCUACGUAGAAGGGUUGCACCUCAAUGCGUCAGGAGUGAUGUGUAACUUGUUUGUACCCGUGUAUCAGAAUGCACCCCUGAGGGGCUGUCUUUGUCCGGCCUAGGGGGCAGUGGAGUGUCCCACCACGGACUAGCUGGUUCAUUGUCGGGGGCUCAUAUUCGUACUAUGUCCUGUAGUGUCUGUGGGGAACCAUUCCUGUGCUUCAUUUGACAAUAAACCUGGCCGGGUGUCUUGGUACCUUA